RNA transcript from Phragmites australis (common reed), 3254 nucleotides. It is a transcript of the gene named probable mediator of RNA polymerase II transcription subunit 26a, with no coding region annotated. Lineage: Eukaryota; Viridiplantae; Streptophyta; Magnoliopsida; Poales; Poaceae. The transcript is spliced from 10 exons. The record is from RefSeq and is a predicted model, not a curated record.
AACUGCAACGAGGCCGCCGCGUCCCACCCAUCUCCCCCCAGAAUUUUCGCCAUUCCUUGCGCCGCGCACGGCCGUGUCCUUCCUUCUUCCCACUUCCCUCCCCUUCCCACUAGAAUCUGCAAGAAACGAGGGCGGGCGGCGGUGAACGGGAGACUACGACGCCACGAGCAGUUUGUUACUGCGACUGCCGCUAGUGGUUGCGAGGCAUGGGCCAUGGGAGGAAGGAAUAGUUGCUGUUGUUUGGUAACCGCGUAGGUCUCGUGGGUUUGCGUACCCUGCCAUCUGCGUUCCCAUCCGCUAGUCUCUUCUCGCCUCGCCUCGCCUCGCAUUCACCUUCCUCCCCGUUUCCUUCCGCAAGGGCCAGAUAAGAUUUGCUUAGGCUAGCGCGGCCCUGGGGUGGGGCUGCUGAAACCAUCAAGGAACGGGGACGUGGGAGCAAAGGGAGCAGAGGAAGGGAAGGUGACGCUGGUUUCUUGGUCGAUCGAUUCCUUUCGGCUCGAUUCGUUCUGGUCUUGCUCCUCAACUGUUUCUUGAUUGAUUGAUUCUUCUCCGGCGGGGUCUCGCUUUCCCGGCCGCUGAUUCGGGGUAUCUGAUUCGCGAUCCGGCGGGAAUUGGAUUCUUGGUCUUGGUGCGCGCGGCGUAAUUUUCGGGUACAUUGAAGCAGGGAGGGAAUUAUCAAGGAAGCAUCGGUUCUUGUUGGUAGUGGUGGGAAUCGCGGUUGGAGGAGGCCGAUCUUGUGGAAGGGAGGCCUUGUCACGGCGGCCCGGCAGGGACCGGCGGCGAUGGCCGACGGGCUGGAUCGGUGGCGCGAAUUCUUCCGGGGCACCGGCGCCGGCAUCUGCGACGUGAUCGAGAACUCCAUCCUCGUGGCAGCCGCCGACGCGCCGCGGGAGCUCCUGCACCGCCGGGACCGCAUCGCCGAGAGGCUCUUCACCGCGCACCGCCUCGACGCCGCGGCUCCGCCGCCGUCCCUGGGCAGCGUCGCGGCCUCCGCCACCCCGGCCACGCCCGUCGAGGAGGACAAGGGCAGCGUGCGCCGCGUCGCCGAGAAGGAGAGCAAGGUCGACAGCAGCAGCAACGGCGCCCACGUCAGGGUCCACGGCCACGACGAGGAUGACGACUCGGAUUCCGACGACGAGCGGCUCCGCCGCGCUGCGGCGAGCAACUACGGCCACAACUACGAUGAUGAUGAUGAUAACGACGAAGAGGAGGAUGAGCAACAGGCGGUGGAGGAGGAGCAGGAAGAGGAAGAGGACCACGAAGCUCAGGAGCUCGAGGCGCUCACCAAUGAGAUCGACGAAGAGUCACAGGUCGUCGGCGAGGUCCUCCGCAUCAAGGAGCUCCUCUUGCACAAGGAAGACCAUUCGGAUGCUACUUUGUUCGAAUCACUGAGGAGGCUGCAGUUGAUGCAAUUGUCCGUCUCCACGCUAAAGGCUACUGAGAUUGGGAGGGCAGUUAAUCUGCUGCGGAAGCACAACUCACAGCAGAUUCGUCACCUCGUGCGCACUCUCAUCGAGGGUUGGAAAGUUUUGGUUGAUGAGUGGGUCAAUACUACUAAUGCUGCUCUGGCAGAUAACUCCCCUGGCUCUUCAAAUCCUUCUGUUGUGGAUGAAGAAGAAGAAGAAGGGCUUCCUUCUCCACCUUUAGAUGAAGGAGCCUUCUUUGCAACCCAGACUACUUCUAUUCAACUUUCUGAGUUCUUUGAUGAAAUGGAUGAAGAUGGAAACUUGAGACAUAAUAAUGAUGCCAACCUUGGAAACAAGAGGGGAAGUACUGGCGGGAGGCCUGCAAACCAUUCAGCAGUUGCAAAGCAAGAGCCUCCUCGCCCUUCUCCUGGAGCCAUCGAAAAAGUUCGAUCCAGGAGGCCGGAAUUGGCAAGGCAAGAGCAAGAGCCAUCAAUGAGGCAGGCAAACCCUCAGAAACCUCAAUGUUCAAGUUUGCCAGUCAAACCACAUGGCAUGCUCAACAAGCAAUCUAAGCCCUCAAGUUUUGAAUCUGGGCCGGGGAGACCAUUAAAGGCAGCUCCUCAGCAGAAACCCUUUGGUGACAUGAAACUUAAACAGACUCGAGAGCGCAUUGCUGUUGAAAGAAAGCCUACGGCGAGCCAGAUGGAUAAAUCAAGGCUCGCUGCACAACAUUCAGCGGGAGUCAAACUAGAGUUGGCAAAGCCAAAGAUCUGUGAUGAUGGUUUGGAUAAUAACAGGAAGCUGGAAGCAGCAAAGAGAAGGCUCCAGGAGCGUUACCAGGAAGCCGAGAAUGCCAAAAGGCAGCGCACGAUACAAGUAAUGGAGCUGGGUGACAUACCAAAGCCUAAGCAUCAAAACCGACAACCUAUGGUGAAGUCAAGGAAUAACAUUAGGAAUUGGGCAAACGGGCGGCGCUAACUCUGGUGCAAUUUUGUCUCACCUGAUGAAUUGUUGCCAUGUGCUCAGUCCGAAUGCAUAUGCUCAUCCGAAGGCAACUGAAAUGAGCUGCCAGGACUUGAACAAACUUAUUGAACGAAACACCUCUGAUGAUCAAGAGGGUUUGCCCUGAAGUUGCAAGAUGCAAUAAGUUAAGUUCUUGCAUUUCGAGAGUUUAGUCAUGUCUGGAUAAUUGUAGAGUGGACAUGUAGCUCGAUCUGUACCGGCUGGCUGGUUAUUUUCUUCUUUUCUUCUUCUUCAAAAGAAGCUGUAGAUACCAGAUAGAAUAAUCAUCAAUAUUUGCUAUGUGGUCAUGCCAUGUUCCUUGCGUUUGACCUACUUGCUCUUGGAAUGCAUGCAUAGGGUCAGGUUCAGGUCAUCCUUUGCAACUGCCAAAUUCGGUGAUGCAAUUGGUGUAUGAUGAUAGUCAUGGUCAGACCCCGGAAUCUAGCAGGCACUUCAGCUGCUGCUGUUGAAUGUUUAGGCUGCCCUGCUGUUGAAUGUCGAUAUCAGCAAUCUUUACAGUUUGGUCAGCUGUAAACUCUGACUGUCACUACAUGGAAAUUUUGUAAUUCCCCUGUCAGAUUUUUGUUCGAUCAAAAGCAUAAAAUAAGGAGAAUGGAACGAAGCAAAGUGAUCCAAGAUAUGAAUCCGUCUAGUGGAUUGGGAGAAGCGUGGAUUCCACCAGCGGAGUAGUUGCAGAGCCAUUAGACCAUCUUCAGUUAUAUUCUCUUUAUUUUAUUCUUUUUAUGAUUUUUCUUUUCAUUUUUAUACUCUUUAUUUUUCCUUGUUUUUAGCAGUUUCUCUUUAAAAAGAUUUAUGAAGGAAAAAUAGAGUGAAUCUUAGGGUGAA